UGUGGAGGGAAGACGACAGAAUUUCCUGGGUAGCAUUUGUCUGGGGAAGAUUCACACUUAACCUGCCAGAAGGCCCCGGCAGCUGGCCAUGAAACUUUGAAUCUCCUCCCAGAGUAGUAAUGGUUUUCAGAGUCCAAUCUUUGAGUUACUGGAUAUGAACUCAUCUCUGUUUCUUUGGAUUGAAAACCAGCAGAGGACUCUCUGGGUUCAGACCUGAACAUCGGGCGUGGACUUGAACCUUGGUUACAAGCACGGACUAUAAUGUCUGCUGGAUGGUACGGGGGAGUGAGCCCAUAAUUCUGAGUUAAAGGCCACUAUCUCAUUUAAUUGGAUCAGCCUUCUCAUAUAAAUCAAAGAACUCUAAGGCUUAUUCUUAUUUAGUGC
Molecule: long non-coding RNA, 384 nt
Filed under: Dromaius novaehollandiae (emu)
Lineage: Eukaryota; Metazoa; Chordata; Aves; Casuariiformes; Dromaiidae
Description: lncRNA (ENSDNVG00000016159.1)
Source: RNAcentral